AGUGAACGCUGGCGGUAGGCCUAACACAUGCAAGUCGAACGGCAGCACAGUAAGAGCUUGCUCUUACGGGUGGCGAGUGGCGGACGGGUGAGGAAUACAUCGGAAUCUACUUUUUCGUGGGGGAUAACGUAGGGAAACUUACGCUAAUACCGCAUACGACCUACGGGUGAAAGCAGGGGAUCUUCGGACCUUGCGCGAUUGAAUGAGCCGAUGUCGGAUUAGCUAGUUGGCGGGGUAAAGGCCCACCAAGGCGACGAUCCGUAGCUGGUCUGAGAGGAUGAUCAGCCACACUGGAACUGAGACACGGUCCAGACUCAUACGGGAGGCAGCAGUGGGGAAUAUUGGACAAUGGGCGCAAGCCUGAUCCAGCCAUACCGCGUGGGUGAAGAAGGCCUUCGGGUUGUAAAGCCCUUUUGUUGGGAAAGAAAAGCAGCAGGUUAAUACCCCGCUGUUCUGACGGUACCCAAAGAAUAAGCACCGGCUAACUUCGUG
Molecule: ribosomal RNA, 492 nt
Filed under: uncultured bacterium
Lineage: Bacteria
Description: partial 16S ribosomal RNA
Rfam family: Bacterial small subunit ribosomal RNA
Source: RNAcentral